UGGCUGGGUUUUGGGAUCA
This 19-nucleotide non-coding RNA is filed under the name Arabidopsis thaliana (thale cress). Lineage: Eukaryota; Viridiplantae; Streptophyta; Magnoliopsida; Brassicales; Brassicaceae. The record is from RNAcentral.